RNAcentral lists this ribosomal RNA (492 nucleotides) under uncultured bacterium. RNAcentral's name for it is "partial 16S ribosomal RNA". It matches the Rfam family "Bacterial small subunit ribosomal RNA", at positions 29 to 507 of the family's 1533-position model. The record is from RNAcentral.
AGUGAACGCUGGCGGUAGGCCUAACACAUGCAAGUCGAACGGCAGCACAGUAAGAGCUUGCUCUUACGGGUGGCGAGUGGCGGACGGGUGAGGAAUACAUCGGAAUCUACUUUUUCGUGGGGGAUAACGUAGGGAAACUUACGCUAAUACCGCAUACGACCUACGGGUGAAAGCAGGGGAUCUUCGGACCUUGCGCGAUUGAAUGAGCCGAUGUCGGAUUAGCUAGUUGGCGGGGUAAAGGCCCACCAAGGCGACGAUCCGUAGCUGGUCUGAGAGGAUGAUCAGCCACACUGGAACUGAGACACGGUCCAGACUCCUACGGGAGGCAGCAGUGGGGAAUAUUGGACAAUGGGCGCAAGCCUGAUCCAGCCAUACCGCGUGGGUGAAGAAGGCCUUCGGGUUGUAAAGCCCUCUUGUUGGGAAAGAAAAGCAGCGGGUUAAUACCCCGCUGUUCUGACGGUACCCAAAGAAUAAGCACCGGCUAACUUCGUG